GACAGAGGGGGCAAGCGUUGCUCGGAAUUACUGGGCGUAAAGGGCGCGUAGGCGGUAUGGCAAGUCGGUCGUGAAAUCCUUCGGCUCAACCGAAGAACGUCGGCCGAUACUGCCGUUCUUGAGGGAUGCAGAGGAGAUUGGAAUUCCCGGUGUAGCGGUGAAAUGUGUAGAGAUCGGGAGGAACACCGGUGGCGAAGGCGGGUCUCUGGGCAUCUCCUGACGCUGAGGCGCGAAAGCGUGGGGAGCAAACGGG
Molecule: ribosomal RNA, 253 nt
Filed under: uncultured bacterium
Lineage: Bacteria
Description: partial 16S ribosomal RNA
Rfam family: Bacterial small subunit ribosomal RNA
Source: RNAcentral